This 465-nucleotide ribosomal RNA is filed under the name uncultured bacterium. RNAcentral's name for it is "partial 16S ribosomal RNA". It matches the Rfam family "Bacterial small subunit ribosomal RNA", at positions 28 to 507 of the family's 1533-position model. The record is from RNAcentral.
GAUGAACGCUGGCGGCGUGCUUAACACAUGCAAGUCGAACGGAAAGGCCCAAGCUUGCUUGGGUACUCGAGUGGCGAACGGGUGAGUAACACGUGGGUGAUCUGCCCUGCACUUCGGGAUAAGCCUGGGAAACUGGGUCUAAUACCGGAUAGGACCACAUUUUGGAUGGUGUGGUGGAAAGUUUUUCGGUGUGGGAUGAGCUCGCGGCCUAUCAGCUUGUUGGUGGGGUAAUGGCCUGCCAAGGCGUCGACGGGUAGCCGGCCUGAGAGGGUGUACGGCCACAUUGGGACUGAGAUACGGCCCAGACUCCUACGGGAGGCAGCAGUGGGGAAUAUUGCACAAUGGGCGCAAGCCUGAUGCAGCGACGCCGCGUGGGGGAUGACGGCCUUCGGGUUGUAAACUCCUUUCGCUAGGGACGAAGCGCAAGUGACGGUACCUGGAGAAGAAGCACCGGCUAACUACGUG